UGGUAGUCCACGCCCUAAAACGAUGCUGACUAGUUGUUCGGGAUUUUACAUCCUGAGUAACGUAGCUAACGCGUGAAGUCAGCCGCCUGGGGAGUACGGUCGCAAGAUUAAAACUCAAAGGAAUUGACGGGGACCCGCCAGGCGGUGGAUGAUGUGGAUUAAUUCGAUGCAACGCGAAAAACCUUACCUACCCUUGACAUGUGACUAACGAAGUAGAGAUACAUUAGGUGCUCGUAAGAGAAAGUCAACACAGGUGCUGCAUGGCUGUCGUCAGCUCGUGUCGUGAGAUGUUGGGUUAAGUCCCGCAACGAGCGCAACCCUUGUCUUUAGUUGCUACGCAAGAGCACUCUAAAGAGACUGCCGGUGACAAACCGGAGGAAGGUGGGGAUGACGUCAAGUCCUCAUGGCCCUUAUGGGUAGGGCUUCACGCGUCAUACAAUGGUGCAUACAGAGGGUUGCCAACCCGCGAGGGGGAGCUAAUCUCAGAAAAUGCAUCGUAGUCCGGAUCGUAGUCUGCAACUCGACUACGUGAAGCUGGAAUCGCUAGUAAUCGCGGAUCAGAAUGUCGCGGUGAAUACGUUCCCGGGUCUUGUACACACCGCCCGUCAUACCAUGGGAGUGGGUUUUGCCAGAAGCAGUUAGCCUAACCGCAAGGAGGGCGACUGCCACGGCAGGGUUCAUGACUGGGGUAAAGUCGUAACAAGGUA
This 707-nucleotide ribosomal RNA is filed under the name uncultured bacterium FukuN109. Its description in RNAcentral is "bacterial SSU rRNA". It matches the Rfam family "Bacterial small subunit ribosomal RNA", at positions 788 to 1498 of the family's 1533-position model. The record is from RNAcentral. Lineage: Bacteria; Pseudomonadati; Pseudomonadota; Betaproteobacteria.